This 255-nucleotide ribosomal RNA is filed under the name uncultured bacterium. RNAcentral describes it as "partial 16S ribosomal RNA". It matches the Rfam family "Bacterial small subunit ribosomal RNA", at positions 524 to 776 of the family's 1533-position model. The record is from RNAcentral.
UACGGAGAAUUCAAGCGUUACCCGGAAUAACUGGGCGUAAAGCGUUGCGUAGGCGGUUUGUUAAGUGAGAUGCGAAAUCUUGUGGCUCAACCAUUAAGACUGUAUUUCAAACUGGCAAACUAGAGGUUGGUAGAGGUGAGUGGAAUUUCUGGUGUAGGAGUGAAAUCCGUAGAUAUCAGAAGGAACACCAAUGGCGAAGGCAGCUCACUGGACCAUACCUGACGCUCAGGCACGAAAGCGUAGGGAGCGAACCGG